AUCAACAUGUAGUUCAUGCUCUAUAUAUUUUAAUUUUUAAUUUAAUGCUAUGUAAUAAUCAUGUAAUAGAAUCUUAGAUCUAGAGAUUCUCUAGUUUUAAAAAAUAAAUUUUGAUUUAUUUUAGUCUUCCGCUGCCUGAUCUUGAAAAAGUUUCAAGAUCUAACCCUGAAACCCUAGAUCUGGUUCCUACAGUUGGUGUCUAAGUUAAACCAGAUCGGUGGUUUUUAAUUGGCAGCCGCUUACCUGGCCAUUUCCAAUGGUGUUUAAGGAAAGCUUUGGCAGACCCUCCCACCGAUCGAACUUACCUGGUCUCUUGGUGAAAUCAUGUUUUGAUCAGAUUACUUAACUAUUUGAGCUGACCCA
Molecule: long non-coding RNA, 363 nt
Filed under: Elaeis guineensis (African oil palm)
Lineage: Eukaryota; Viridiplantae; Streptophyta; Magnoliopsida; Arecales; Arecaceae
Description: long non-coding RNA (EGUI_LNC066805)
Source: RNAcentral